Molecule: long non-coding RNA, 913 nt
Organism: Cydia pomonella (codling moth)
Lineage: Eukaryota; Metazoa; Arthropoda; Insecta; Lepidoptera; Tortricidae
Exons: 2
Source: RefSeq, a predicted model, not a curated record
AUAGUACGCCUGGCAACACUGACUACGACGCACAUAGAGUAAGGCACAAGGGUAACGUGGCAAACGAGACGGCACUUUCAGCCGUAUCUGACUAACCAUAUGCAUGUAAUCAAACUUGUCGUUUACGCAGCGGCUUACGUGAGCGAAUAACUCGCGAACGCGAAGCGGCGCGGCGGCCCACAGCAUUCGCGUUCGCAACGAGAUCGCCCACGUGGGACACUUCAAUAGGUAUCAAAGGAUUGAUUCACCCGCGUAUUAGCGUUCGCGAGUUAAUCGCUCACGUAAGCCGCUGCGUUAGAAGUUUAGUGCAAGAACAUUAGGUCCAGCAAUACUACAUUAAAUUAAGGGUUGGGCGUGAAUAAUUAAUAGACAGACAGAGUUACGUACGCAUUGAUUAUAUAUAAAAAUUAAGUGGAAAACAUAAAUUUUGGUUCGUUGGCGGCUUGAAAUAAUUGAAAAGUUAAAUGGAAUGUGAUAUCUGCUACAAUAAUUGCAUGAAUACAUUAUGUUUCAUGCAAAUUUAUAAAUCUGGUGACUUUUUAACCGACGUUAAGAAAAGGAGGUUAUCAAUUCAAGCGUAUUUCUUGCUGUUACUUCAGAAUUCCGUCAUGAGUAAACCGAUUUGGAAAACUCCUUUUUCAUUGCUAAUGCUCUGAAACUGGGUCAUUGUAGAAAAUGAUACGUUUCUGCACUAGAGCAUUAUGAUAACCAAUUAAAGCCGGUAACUAAUACUCAUUGAGGCAAUUCUAACAAACCCAAACAAUGAGUUUACAUUGUUGUGUCACACAGUUCCCAUGGCUACCUCCUGUCUCCAUCAUCAGAUCAGCUCCAUCAUCUUCCUCGCGCUGUCCCGGCAUUCUACGGCUAAUGGGAACCUGGGGUCCGCUUGGUAAAUAAAAACAGAUCAGCUCCA